Molecule: long non-coding RNA, 260 nt
Organism: Bombina bombina (fire-bellied toad)
Lineage: Eukaryota; Metazoa; Chordata; Amphibia; Anura; Bombinatoridae
Exons: 3
Source: RefSeq, a predicted model, not a curated record
CUAAUUCUACAGGUGCUGUCGCAACCUUCCUGGGAUUUGUAGUCCGUAAUCGUAAACACUUCCGGAAGGUCUUGCAUUUGUGGCCUAGAGAGUUGAAAUAAGUCGCUGCUGACGAACAAGAUGAGCAAACACAAGAAGCAGAUGGCAGAGCGGUUCUUGAAUCACGCCCUCGGCAUUAUUUACCUGCUGACUGGUGAGGAAUACACUAUUGUAAAGAAGAAUUCUGCGCACAGGAGCAUUCAGCGGCUUACAGGAGAGGU